CAAAAUUUAAGCGAUGAACAUAAAUGUAAUAAAACACAGAUAACUACUACAGAUUUAAAUGAUGUCCAUGUUACAGAUUCAAACGAAUUGAUAAAAAACAUAGAUUUAAUUGAUUUCAGUUUAGACACAUGUAAUUAUUAUACUAAUUUUGAUUAUAAAGUUAAACCUGAAAAUACAUUUCUUCGUAUAAUUAAGACAAAUAAAAAUUCAAAAAAAAACACUUGUGCAAAUAUUACUUGCGUAGAAGAAAACAAUCCUAUUGGUAUUAUCAAUAGCAAUUUAUUAGGGGAAAAAAAUAAUAUAAUCAAUAUGCCAUCUACAGAAAAAAAUAUUGUUAUAAACACUGCUAAUCAGGAAAAAAAUCAGUACACACAUUGUACAUAUAAUAGUAGAAACGCUGAUAUUUAUAAUUAUAGUAGUCAGGAUACAAUUGGUCAUAAUUACCAACACACACAUAUGAAUAACGCAACAACAAAUAUUGCAACUUCAGGCGUUACAAAUGCGUCAGCAAUUGUUGAUAAUAAUAAUCAAACAAAUGGUAAUAAUAACAACAAUAGUAAUGGUAGCAGUAAGGACGGUGACAAUGUUAAUAAUACUUCAGUUUUGUGUGCACCAAACCAUUUAUACAAUGAUGACAUAAAUAAAAAACAACAUAACAAUUAUAAUAAAAAGGAAGACAUAAGUAAUAAUUAUAAUGAUAAUAAAAAUAAUUAUCCGUUAAACAAAAUGGAGAUGAUAUCUACUUCUAGUACUGCAACUUAUACUGAACUUGUUGCUGCCAGUAAUAACACAAGUCAUACUAAUAUUAGUUAUAAGGAAAGGAGCAAUGAUAUUAAUAAAAAUAAUAAUAAUAAUAAUAAUAAUAAUAAUAAUAAUACAGGUAAUAAUAAUAAUAAUAAUGAUAAUAAUAAUACAGGUAAUAAUAAUAAUAAUAAUACAGGUAAUAAUAAUAAUAAUAAUAAUAAUGAUAAUAAUGGCUUGUCAAUUGCCUACAACAACCAUUUUAAUAAUGGUUAUAAAAAUAAUGAUUAUAACAGUAUUUGUAAUAAUGGUAACCUAAGUGGUAGCACUGUUCAUUUGGAUAAGAAGAAAACAAACAAAUAUACUAAUAAUAAUACUAAUACGAACGAGAACACAAACGCAAACACAAACGCGAGCACAAACGCGAGCACAAACGCGAGCACAAACGCAAGCACAAACGCGAGCACAAACGCGAGCACAAACAUAAAUACAAGUACAAACACAAAUACAAGCACAGAUACAAACACAAAUAUAAGUACAAACACAAAUACAAACACAAACACAAANNNNNNNNNNAUAAGUACAAACACAAAUACAAACACAAACACAAACACAAACACAAACACAAACAUAAAUACAAGCACAAAUACAAACACAAAUACAAGCACAAACACAAACACAAACAAAAACACAAACACAAAUACAAGUACAAACACAAACACAAACACAAACACAAAUACAAGUACAAACACAAAUACAAACACAAGUACAAACACAAAUACAAACACAAACACAAACACAAACAUAAAUACAAGCACAAAUACAAACACAAACACAAACACAAACAACAAUGAUAAUUUAAACACAUAUAAUAACCACAAUAUAAAUAAUUAUAAUGAUUCAUAUAAUAAUUAUUAUCAUAGUAAAUAUAUUAAGAACAAUAAUGCUAAUUCAAAUAUUAAUAACCGUGAUAAAUAUAAAAACGAUAAUAAUCAGAACAAUAGCAAUAACAAUUAUAACAAUAAUAGCAAUAAUAACACACAUUAUUUAUUAAACGGAACUACUAAUGAAAAUUCUAAAACGUAUACAAAUAUUAUGACUAGCGAACAUAAAAACGAAAACAACACAAACAGUGCUCCAAUGGGUAGUAAAAGAAAUGAUUAUAAUGUUAAUAAUAAUAAUAACAAUAGUAAUAAUAAUAACUAUUAUACCCCUAAUAAAUGUUAUAAUAAUUACGACACAUUUAAAAAUUAUAAUACAAUAAAAAAUAAUUAUAAUUAUAAUAUGGAAAAUUACGAACGUACAAAAAAAAAAACAGAAAACAAUAUGGACUAUUUAAAUAAUACAACGGUUAACAGAUAUUAUGUGAGUAAUAAUAACAAAAAAAAUAUGAAUUAUAUGAAGAAGUAUUUAGAGGGUAAUGAAAAGAGCUACAGUUAUAACAACAGAUUAUAUGCUAAUAUGAAUGAUGACUCGCAUUUUAACGAAAGUAAUAACACGAACCGAUGUUAUAAUUAUAACAAUAAUAUUAAUUAUAAUAGUACCAAUGUUAACAAUGUUGUUACAAAUCGUAGUUAUAACCAUAUUAGUAAUGUUAAUAGCGUUAGUAGUAUUAGUAAGAACCAUAAUAAUAAAAUUAGUAACAACAUUAGUAACAACAUUAGUAAUAACUUCAGUAACAACUUUAGUAACAACUUUAGUAACAACUUUAUUAAUAAUAUAGAUGGUAGUUUUUUCAAUGCUAACAGUAAUAAUAGUACAUUUACAUUUGGU
Molecule: long non-coding RNA, 2514 nt
Organism: Piliocolobus tephrosceles (Ugandan red Colobus)
Lineage: Eukaryota; Metazoa; Chordata; Mammalia; Primates; Cercopithecidae
Source: Ensembl